Physella acuta is the source of this 242-nucleotide long non-coding RNA. RefSeq lists it as uncharacterized. Lineage: Eukaryota; Metazoa; Mollusca; Gastropoda; Physidae. The record is from RefSeq and is a predicted model, not a curated record.
AUAGACACAUCGUGGCCUAACUCAUGAUGAGCAAUUUGAUCUUACUGUUGCUGCUGUUAUGCACAGUUUCUUUCGUGGAAUGUAACUUAACAGAAACCUUUGGCAAAAGAUGGUGCGCCCGAUACUUUAAAAAAUGUUUUCCCACUAAACCAUGCUGUUGGGACAUUUAUGUGUGCAGGACCAAACCAUGUGGAACAACAUUUAGGUGUAUGAGACCAGGGAAUGGCAACGCAUGACGUCAU